UCCCAGUGAAAUCUGCUUUUAUUUGCUCCGAGCAAACCCCGGGCUCUCAGUGCUCCCGCCUGAUGGAUGCAAAUGUAAAUGUGCACUUAUUUAAUUGGAUCAGGCCCCAAGAUAAAAGAGAUAAACGGCUCCCCGUUUGCUAACUUAUUUUCCGAGGCAGCGCCGCGUGGAGGAGAAGCUAAUGAAGGAGGGGCGCGUCGCCGGGCGCUCGAGCUCUCCGCGGCGGUGCGCGCUGGUCAGUCGGUUCGGCUUGGACCGCGGCUCCUCGUCCAUCUCUACUGCCCGCCGGGUAGGAUCCGCUUGGUACCUGGUUCUCCUCUCCCCUGGGCGGGAGUUCAGAACUUCAGCAUCAGUACGUCUGUCUCCUUAACCC
Molecule: long non-coding RNA, 373 nt
Filed under: Bos taurus (domestic cattle)
Lineage: Eukaryota; Metazoa; Chordata; Mammalia; Artiodactyla; Bovidae
Description: long non-coding RNA NONBTAT009142
Source: RNAcentral